Molecule: RNA transcript, 590 nt
Organism: Pipistrellus kuhlii (Kuhl's pipistrelle)
Lineage: Eukaryota; Metazoa; Chordata; Mammalia; Chiroptera; Vespertilionidae
Gene name: 60S ribosomal protein L34-like
Exons: 1
Source: RefSeq, a predicted model, not a curated record
UGUGUUUUUAUGAGACACCAAUGCUGGGUAGAUAUUGUCCAGGAGGCGGUGAGAUGUGAGGGAUUGUAAGUGCUCACAAGGACUACUCAUGGGAAUUCUACCAAUCCAGCCAGUUUCUCGGAACGUAGGAAUCUAACCAGAAAUGAAGUAGCUGUCUUCCGGGGACGGUGACUUCAGGUAUUCACCAUGGUCCAGGGUUUGACAUACCGCCGGAGGAUGUCCUACAAUACAGCCUCUAACAAAACUAGACUGUCCCGAACCCCUGGUAAUAGAAUUGUUUACCUUUACACCAAGAAGGUUGAGAAAGCACCCAAAUCUGCGUGGGGUGUGUGCCCAGGCUGACUUCAAGGAGUUGGUGAUGUGAGGCCUAAAGUUCUAAUGAGGUUGUCUAAAACGAAAAAACACGUCAGCAGGGCCUAUGGUGGAUCCAUAUGUGCUAACUUUGUCCGUGACAGGAUCAAGCGUGCUUUCCUUGAGGAGCAGAAAAUCGUCGUGAAAGUGUUGAAGGCACAAGCACAGAGUCAGAAAGCUAAAGUUAAAAAUGAAGCUUUUUUGAGUAAUAAAAACUCAUUCUGUUAAAAAAAAAAAAA